AGUGAACGCUGGCGGUAGGCCUAAUACAUGCAAGUCGAACGGCAGCACAGUAAGAGCUCGCUCUUACGGGUGGCGAGUGGCGGACGAGUGAGGAAUACAUCGGAUUCUACUUUGUCGUGGGUGACAACGGAGGGAAACUUACGCUAAUACCGCAUACGACCAACGGGUGAAAGCAGGGGAGCUUAGGACCUUGAGCGACUGAAUGAGCCGAUGUCGGAUUAGCUAGUUGGCGGGGUAAAGGCCCACCAAGGCCACGAUCCGUAGCUGGUCUGAGAGGAUGAUCAGCCACACUGGAACUGAGACACGGUCCAGACUCCUACGGGAGGCAGCAGUGGGGAAUAUUGGACAAAGGGCGCAAGCCUGAUCCAGCCAUGCCGCGUGGGUGAAGAAGGCCUUCGGGUUGUAAAGCCCUUUUGUUGGGAAAGAAAAGCUGCAGGUUAAUCCCCCGCUGUUCUGACGGUACCCAAAGAAUAAGCCCCGGCUAACUUCGUG
Molecule: ribosomal RNA, 492 nt
Filed under: uncultured bacterium
Lineage: Bacteria
Description: partial 16S ribosomal RNA
Rfam family: Bacterial small subunit ribosomal RNA
Source: RNAcentral